This 21-nucleotide non-coding RNA is filed under the name Caenorhabditis elegans. The record is from RNAcentral. Lineage: Eukaryota; Metazoa; Nematoda; Chromadorea; Rhabditida; Rhabditidae.
UCGCAUACAAACUAGGAGCUU